This is a non-coding RNA of Macaca mulatta (Rhesus monkey), 2014 nucleotides long. The record is from RefSeq and is a predicted model, not a curated record. Lineage: Eukaryota; Metazoa; Chordata; Mammalia; Primates; Cercopithecidae.
AGACGGUUAAGGAAACGCAGUGUGCUUCUCCAACAUUUGGAGAGCUGAUCCGUGAAAGAAGAAUCAGACCUUUUUUCUUAGCAGCAGAGAACAGAACUAGGACUAAUAAGUGAAAGCUAAAGGGAGGCUGCUUUCAAGUCACAGCAAGAAAGAAUUUUGUCCACAAAUGAGGAUGCACAAAUAAUAAGCUCCCCCACGAAUCACUGAGUUUCCUCUGUGAAGGCGACAAUUCUGACGGAAAAUGUGUUGGAGAGAAGAGAUUUUAAAAAAUCAACUAGAUCACAUCCAAUAGCAUAAACAAGAAGGAAGGAGGGAAGUUGCGGUGGCAAGCACCUGUAGUCCUAGCUACUCCGGAGGCUGAGGCAGGAAGCUCGCUGAGCUCAAAAGUUCAAAAGCUCGAUGCCAUCCUGGACAACAUAGCAAGACCACGUCUAAAAAAAAAAAAAAAAAAAGACGUGACAAAUAUGAAAACAUAAAGCAUGCAAAAGACUUUUCUAGAUUUCAAUCUAUAAGAAAGCAUGUCCUAAGAAAAAGAUGUUCUUAACAAUUGCUUUGUACUAAACAGCAACUUAAUAUGGUGAUGAAUUAUGUUGUUUUUAAAGUUGCAAACUGUCAUUUAAGGAAUAUUAUUUCCAUGAACGCUUCCUGUACAAUCUGUUAAAGGAUAAACUUCACACAGCCAAACAGUUGAAGAGACUUCAUCAUAAAUAGACUAUCCUAUAUCACAGCUAACAAGAACAAAAAAGGAAUGUGGUAUGAAAGCAUAAAAACAAAAAUAUCUCAGAAAAUCAUAUAGAGAAAACUAAAAUACAUGGGCUAGAAUUCCACCCCAGGGACUGUAUCCUCAAAGACACAGUUUUUUCUUCUUUUUUUUUCAUGUUUCAGUGCUCUGAGUAGCUACAAAAAGAAGACCAGCCUAUCCUGCUGGAGAGAGUGGCCAGGUGAAGAAAGAGCCCUUGGAGUGUGAAAGACCACAGGGAAAGAGAGGCCACAUGGAACCAACAGUCAGCACCUUGGUUUUGGACAUGUGAAGAAAUUCAUCUCAGACUGUGUAUCCUAAAUCAGGCACUUGCCAAAUGCAACUACAUGAGCAAGACCAGUUGACAACACACGGAGCAGAGCCACACAGCUGAACUACCGGACAUGUGAAUGAAGCUAGUUUGGAAGUUCCAGCCCUGGCUAAACACCCAGCUGAGUGCAGCCACCUGAGUGACCCCAGCCAAUAAUAUCCAGAGCAGGAGAAUCAUCCAGUUCUCAGUGUCUCCUCUAGAAGGCGCUUUCAAUUUUCCAACCACAGCUUGGGAGGCUGUUCCAGUCUUGCUGACUUUUAGUGAGAAGAAAACAGUUUCCAGUGAAGGAGUUCCCACUCUGAAGAAUAUGGAUGAGGAUUCAGAGUCAUCCUCCACCCUCGGGGAUGGAGCCAAAUUUAGGGCUCCUUGGGCACAGGCAUAAAGGUGGACCCAUCUUCUAGACACUGGCCAAACACACACAAAAAGUGAGAACUUGCAGAAGAGGGAAGAAAGGAAAGAGACAUCAUGAUGCCCAGCAGGAAAUGAGAUUUUGCAGGCUGACCUGAUAGAAUAAAGAAAUAUAUGUUUGUUAUCAUUUUUCUGACUCACUGUAUUGUGACCAAUCAUAGUGUUUUUAUUUUUACUAAGACCUUUACCAGGCUUUACUUGGUUUGUAACUCUUGAGUUACCUUUAAGGAUAAUUGAAUUUUAUCUCUUUCUGUCUAACUUACAAAUUUUCUCUACGUAAGUUUUUUUGACAACUCUACUUCAGUAUAAAGGAUAUUUAAGUAUUUUAAUUGUACAGUUUUAUGAGUUUUGACACAUGCAUAUACACCUGAAGCCAUCACCACAUUCACGAGGGGGAGGACACCCAAAUUUCUUUGUGUCCAUCUCUUCCUUAUCUUGCCUCCUUGCCCCUUCACCAGGCAGCAACUGAUCUGUGUUCUGUCAUUAUAAAUUAGUUUGAAUUUUCUAGUAUUUUACAUAAAUGGAAUUACAUAGUA